Molecule: ribosomal RNA, 478 nt
Filed under: uncultured bacterium
Lineage: Bacteria
Description: partial 16S ribosomal RNA
Rfam family: Bacterial small subunit ribosomal RNA
Source: RNAcentral
GACGAACGCUGGCGGCGUGCUUAACACAUGCAAGUCGAACGGUAAGGCCCUUCGGGGUACACGAGUGGCGAACGGGUGAGUAACACGUGGGUGAUCUGCCCUGCACUUCGGGAUAAGCCUGGGAAACUGGGUCUAAUACCGGAUAGGACCAUUGCCUGCAUGGGUGGUGGUGGAAAGCUUUUGCGGUGUGGGAUGGGCCCGCGGCCUAUCAGCUUGUUGGUGGGGUGAUGGCCUACCAAGGCGACGACGGGUAGCCGGCCUGAGAGGGUAACCGGCCACACUGGGACUGAGGUACGGCCCAGACUCCUACGGGAGGCAGCAGUGGGGAAUAUUGCACAAUGGGCGCAAGCCUGAUGCAGCGACGCCGCGUGAGGGAUGACGGCCUUCGGGUUGUAAACCUCUUUCAGCACCGACGAAGCGCAAGUGACGGUAGGUGCAGAAGAAGGACCGGCCAACUACGUGCCAGCCGCCGCCGUAA